AGUGAACGCUGGCGGUAGGCCUAACACAUGCAAGUCGAACGGCAGCACAUUAAUAUCUUGCUCUUACGGGUGGCGAGUUUCGUACGUGUGAGGAAUACAUCGGAAUCUACUUUUUCGUGUGGGAUAACGUAGGGAAACUUACGCUAAUACCGCAUACUACCUACUGGUGAAAUCAUGGUAUCUUCGGACCUUUCGCGUUUUAAUUAGCCGAUGUCGGAUUAGCUAGUUGGCGGGGUAAAGUCCCACCAAGGCGACGAUCCGUAGAUGGUCUGAGAGGAUGAUCAGCGAAACUGGAACUGAGACACGGUAAAGAGUACUAAGGGAGGCAGCAGUGGGGAAUAUUGGAAAAUGGGCGAAAGCAUGAUCGAGCAAUACCGAGUGGGUGAAGAAGGACUUCGGGUUGUAAAGCCCUUUUGUUGGGAAAGAAAAGAAGAAGGUUAAUACAACGCUGUUCUGACGGUAACAAAAGAAUAAGCAACGGCUAACUUCGUG
This 492-nucleotide ribosomal RNA is filed under the name uncultured bacterium. RNAcentral describes it as "partial 16S ribosomal RNA". It matches the Rfam family "Bacterial small subunit ribosomal RNA", at positions 29 to 507 of the family's 1533-position model. The record is from RNAcentral.